RNAcentral lists this ribosomal RNA (256 nucleotides) under uncultured archaeon. Its description in RNAcentral is "partial 16S ribosomal RNA". The stretch from base 31 to 256 matches the Rfam family "Archaeal small subunit ribosomal RNA", at positions 829 to 1055 of the family's 1478-position model. The record is from RNAcentral.
CAUGGUAAUGCUUUUGAAUGCGAGCCACCUUGGGAAGUACGGUCGCAAGGCUGAAACUUAAAGGAAUUGGCGGGGGAGCACCACAACGGGUGGAGCUUGCGGUUUAAUUGGUUCAACGCCGGAAAUCUUACCGGGACCGACAGCAAUUUGAAGGCCAGGCUGAAGACUUUGCCGGAUUAGCUGAGAGGUGGUGCAUGGCCGUCGUCAGUUCGUACUGUGAAGCAUCCUGUUAAGUCAGGCAACGAGCGAGACCCAA